RNAcentral lists this ribosomal RNA (253 nucleotides) under uncultured bacterium. RNAcentral's name for it is "partial 16S ribosomal RNA". It matches the Rfam family "Bacterial small subunit ribosomal RNA", at positions 524 to 776 of the family's 1533-position model. The record is from RNAcentral.
UACGUAGGGUGCAAGCGUUGUCCGGAAUUAUUGGGCGUAAAGAGCGUGUAGGCGGCUUGAUAAGUCUGCUGUGAAAGUCUAGGGCUCAACCCUGGAAAGCCGGUGGAUACUGUCGAGCUAGAGUCCGGAAGGGGCGAGUGGAAUUCCUGGUGUAGCGGUGAAAUGCGCAGAUAUCAGGAGGAACACCAAUGGCGAAGGCAGCUCGCUGGGACGGUACUGACGCUGAGACGCGAAAGCGUGGGUAGCAAACAGG